CAGUUGGAUAAACGCCGUAUGAAAGACUACGGAGGAAAGUCCGGGCAUCAUAAGGCAGAGUGCCGGCUAGUUACCGGUGGAGGCGACUCCAAGGAAAGUGCAACAGAAAUAAACCGCCCGCAAGGGUAAGGAUGGAAAGGCGAGGUAAGAGCUCACCGCUCCUGCGGCAACGCGGGAGGCCCUGUAAACCCCACUCGAUGCAAGAGACAAGGACGAAUCGGUCGCCUGCCGCGUCCCUCAAUCGCUUAAGCCCUGCGGCAACGCUUGGCUCAGAUAGAUGUUUAUCCUCGACAGAACCCGGCUUACAGACUGC
RNAcentral lists this RNase P RNA (313 nucleotides) under chicken gut metagenome. Its description in RNAcentral is "Bacterial RNase P class A". It matches the Rfam family "Bacterial RNase P class A". Rfam says of the family: Ribonuclease P (RNase P) is a ubiquitous endoribonuclease, found in archaea, bacteria and eukarya as well as chloroplasts and mitochondria. Its best characterised activity is the generation of mature 5'-ends of tRNAs by cleaving the 5'-leader elements of precursor-tRNAs. The record is from RNAcentral.